GCACAGCAGGGUGGCGUAGUGGUUAGCCCGUCUGCCUAGUGAGCAGAAGACCCAGGUUCGAAUCCUGGCUUGGGUA
This is a non-coding RNA of Schistocerca serialis cubense, 76 nucleotides long. The record is from the annotation of a RefSeq genome assembly. Lineage: Eukaryota; Metazoa; Arthropoda; Insecta; Orthoptera; Acrididae.